RNAcentral lists this ribosomal RNA (615 nucleotides) under Triticum aestivum (bread wheat). RNAcentral describes it as "partial small subunit ribosomal RNA". Lineage: Eukaryota; Viridiplantae; Streptophyta; Magnoliopsida; Poales; Poaceae. The record is from RNAcentral.
AUGGCGACCAAGAUAUACAUCGUGUACUACUCGACCUGGGGGCACGUCGCGACGCUGGCGGAGGAGAUAAAGAAGGGCGCCGACUCCGUCCCCGGCGUGGAGGUCACCAUAUGGCGGGUGCCGGAGACGCUGCCGGAGGGCGUGCUGGCGAAGAUGCACGCCGCGCCGGGGCGCCAGGACCACCCCGUCAUCACGGCGGGCCAGCUGGCCGAGGCCGACGGCGUCCUGUUCGGCACCCCGACGCGGUUCGGCAUGAUGGCGGCGCAGAUGAAGGCCUUCUUCGACUCCACCGGCGGCCUCUGGAAGGAGCAGUCCCUCGCCGGCAAGCCCGCGGGCGUCUUCUUCGCGACGGCCACCCAGGGCGGCGGCCAGGAGUCCACCGCGCUCACGGCCGUCACGCAGCUGGCGCACCACGGCAUGCUGUUCGUGCCUGUCGGGGGCACGCACGGCGCCGGCAUGCUGAUCAUGGACGAGGUCAAGGGCGGCAGCGCGUACGGGGCGGGCACCUUCGCCGGCGCCGACGGUAGCAGGGUGCCCACUGGCGCCGAGCUCGCUUUGGCGGAGCACCAGGGGAGGUACUUCGCCGGCAUCGCUAAGAAGCUCAAGUCCGUGUGA